This is a long non-coding RNA of Limulus polyphemus (Atlantic horseshoe crab), 484 nucleotides long. RefSeq lists it as uncharacterized. Lineage: Eukaryota; Metazoa; Arthropoda; Merostomata; Xiphosura; Limulidae. The record is from RefSeq and is a predicted model, not a curated record. The transcript is spliced from 3 exons.
ACAUAACAAUAGUUAAGAAAAUACGUGAGAUUCUUCGUUUCACAAAAGGAGGCUUCCAUUGUUAUCUCCGCAACGGUCAUUGACAGAUUGACCUUUUUGUCCUCUCCUCCAGUGACCAUGACCCGGCCAGAUUUUUUUCCAAAGGCUAAGCAACGAACACUGGCUCCAUGGGCCAUGAACUCUUCUAGUAAAUGUAAACAAAAGUGAAAGGACCCGGAUUUAAAACAGGCUAGACUCAAAUUUUGUACUGGAUACAUUUCACCAAGUUUACCCGAUGUUGCAGGACCCGGAUUUAAAACAGGCUAGACUCAAAUUUUGUACUGGAUACACUUCACCAAGUUUACCCGAUGUCGCAGGACCCGGAUUUAAAACAUGCUAGACUCAAAUUUUGUACUGGAUACAUUUCACCAAGUUUACCCGACGUUGUAGGACCCGGAUAUUAAUCAGAAAUUGUUUUUGUAAUUAAACUUCACAUUUUAUUGAC